RNAcentral lists this ribosomal RNA (440 nucleotides) under uncultured bacterium. RNAcentral's name for it is "partial 16S ribosomal RNA". It matches the Rfam family "Bacterial small subunit ribosomal RNA", at positions 338 to 795 of the family's 1533-position model. The record is from RNAcentral.
CCUACGGGAGACAGCAGUGGGGGAUAUUGCACAAUGGGGGGAACCCUGAUGCAGCGACGCCGCGUGGGUGAAGAAGCGCCUCGGCGCGUAAAGCCCUGUCAGCAGGGAAGAAAAUGACGGUACCUGAAGAAGAAGCCCCGGCUAACUACGUGCCAGCAGCCGCGGUCAUACGUAGGGGGCAAGCGUUAUCCGGAUUUACUGGGUGUAAAGGGGGCGCAGACGGCGAUGCAAGCCAGGAGUGAAAGCCCGGGGCCCAACCCCGGGACUGCUCUUGGAACUGCGUGGCUGGAGUGCAGGAGGGGCAGGCGGAAUUCCUGGUGUAGCGGUGAAAUGCGUAGAUAUCAGGAGGAACACCGGUGGCGAAGGCGGCCUGCUGGACUGCAACUGACGUUGAGGCCCGAAAGCGUGGGGAGCAAACAGGAUUAGAUACCCGAGUAGUC